Equus caballus (horse) is the source of this 1704-nucleotide long non-coding RNA. The record is from Ensembl. NCBI's taxonomy places the organism in Eukaryota, Metazoa, Chordata, Mammalia, Perissodactyla, Equidae.
GGUUAAGCCUUGGGACUGUUCGCCUAACACACAAACAGUGAAGAGGACCAAGCGUGGGAGGAAGCUAAGUUUCCAAACUCUUUACUGGUGCAGUCGGUGUUGCAGGUGCUCAGCGUGAGGGAAUGACUGCCUCCACGUGGAGAGCGGCAAGCAGCAGGGAAGAUCAAAGCCCCUCACGGGCACCAGGCACCCGGCCCCUCAGCCUGGGCAGCUGCCCAGCCUAACGUGAGCAUAGCGAGCUGCCUUUCCUACCUGGAUGAACCAUAACCCAUGUUUCAGAUUCCAGCACUUUGGAGGGCUUCCAUCUCUCCAGUUCCAAGCGAAGCGCGAAAGCUCUGCUUCCGACGGGAUUUAGAAGAGGCCGGUUAACGACGACCAGCCAGGACGCGGAGCAGUCUUUUCCGACCUCGCUGCUUCGCCCUCCCUUUACGCUGACUUUAAGAGCUUCAAGUCACGGUGGUCAUGAGUGCUACACUGAAGGACACCACAUGUCACCAAUCCUAAACUAGUAAGCAAUUUCUGGUUAUUAAGGAGUUUUUGAGCAGAAGGAAACCUGUGGCACCAGAAGCCUUCCCGUCUGCAAGUCGUUCAGUGGAAGGAAGCAGGACAGGGAAAGAAGGCUCGACAGACAACUUCCCCGUUGGCCUUCCAGCCUUCCCUGGACCCAUGUGCAUGUCCAACCUGGCCUCUUCUCAGGGAACGUUCACUAUCCGCGCAACAGAAUAAGAAAUAAGACAGUUGAUGGAACUGUCCUCAUAGAACGCAAACUCUGCCAUCAUUUCAAGCACGCUGGAUGGAGAGGAUUAAGGGCAGGACCCAUAUUUCACACCUUUGCUUCCUGGGGAAUGAGGCUGCCUAAGAGAGAGGCAUGACCAGCUACUGCUCUUUUCCACAAGCUGCGUGUGCAAUUGUGUUAUCAUUCAACAGAAGUUCAAAGUAGGAAAAUAUCUUAUUACAGGUGGGGACACUCCAAGAAAUUUCUGGAUUGUUAGAGUGAACAGAAAUAUUCAGAAACGAGCCUGUUUACCUUAAAAUAUCUGAAUGCCAGAUGCAAAAUGUUUGAACAUAAGUCCCUCACUUAAUAAGCAGAGAUGAACACAGUCUUGUGGUCACUGACAAGAAAGGGGUGGAUUUAUUUGAUAAGAACUGCAGAUGAGUACUCUUCCUGGGUGAGAGAAGUUCGGAUGGACUGCAGACUCCAAACCAACAACAUAAGCGCCAUCAGAAGCCUUGUAAAUGGUAUCAACAAUACAAGAUGGGCUUUAAAAAAAUACCGAAUAGGCCUCCUAAAAGAAUAACGUUUUACCACCAAAUUCCCUCGGUCCAGGGCCGCAGGAGAAUGUGCCUCUACUAGAUGCCUGUAACAUUUCCCCCUUCGCUUCUCAGGCUGGAGAGGCUCCACAGCCAUCUCCAGUGACCGUCCCCUCCAGGCCUGAUGCUGCACACAGUCACCGAUUCUAACAGCUUUCUCUCUUUUAUCUUCCAUAAGGUUAAGGGUUUCCAAAAGCCAUUAGGACCCAAGAGAGUAAAACCAACCAAACGAAGAAGCAUAAAAUCUCCACAAACAUAAGGAAUCUGCAUGGUUAAAUUUCUUCUCCAAAGUCGCCUGCACCCCAAUUCCAUGUGGCUCUGCCUUCGGUUCUUAUUCAUAAAAUACACCUAUCAGUUUAUCGCCUCGGCUCCAAGUUCACUCUCCAGUACCCG